This 254-nucleotide ribosomal RNA is filed under the name uncultured bacterium. RNAcentral describes it as "partial 16S ribosomal RNA". It matches the Rfam family "Bacterial small subunit ribosomal RNA", at positions 524 to 776 of the family's 1533-position model. The record is from RNAcentral.
UACGUAGGGCGCAAGCGUUAUCCGGAAUUAUUGGGCGUAAAGAGCUCGUAGGCGGUUUGUCGCGUCUGCCGUGAAAGUCCGGGGCUCAACUCCGGAUCUGCGGUGGGUACGGGCAGACUAGAGUGAUGUAGGGGGAGACUGGAAUUCCUGGUGUAGCGGUGGAAUGCGCAGAUAUCAGGAGGAACACCGAUGGCGAAGGCAGGUCACUGGGCCGCAACUGACGCUGAGGAGCGAAAGCAUGGGGAGCGAACAGG